This 366-nucleotide ribosomal RNA is filed under the name uncultured Glomeromycotina. RNAcentral's name for it is "SSU rRNA". It matches the Rfam family "Eukaryotic small subunit ribosomal RNA", at positions 569 to 941 of the family's 1831-position model. The record is from RNAcentral. Lineage: Eukaryota; Fungi; Glomeromycota.
AGCAGCCGCGGUAAUUCCAGCUCCAAUAGCGUAUAUUAAAGUUGUUGCAGUUAAAAAGCUCGUAGUUGAAUUUCGGGAUCAGUACGCUGGUCGUGCCUUUGGUAUGUACUGGUGUCACUGAUUCCUCCCUUCUGAAGAACCGUUAUGCCAUUUAUUUGGUGUGGCGGGGAAUCAGGACUGUUACUUUGAAAAAUUAGAGUGUUUAAAGCAGGCUCGCGCUUGAAUACAUUAGCAUGGAAUAAUGAAAUAGGACGUUUUGAUCUUAUUUUGUUGGUUUCUAGGAUCGACGUAAUGAUUAAUAGGGAUAGUUGGGGCAUUAGUAUUCAAUUGUCAGAGGUGAAAUUCUUGGAUUUAUGAAGACUAACU